AUUUUUUUAACUCCUCCCCCCCCAGCUGUUUCUGGACAGAUGAAAAGCUGUGAAUAUUUUGAGAGAUGGCAGGUAGGAGAAUUUCAUCUUUGUCAACAAAAUUUCUAGAUGUAGAUCUGAAGAUUACUGACGUAAACUACCAUCCAAAAGAAGUUCUUGUGAAAUUUCAAGGCAGAUAUAACACAGAUUGUGAGUUUGAUUACCAUAUAUUGCAAAAUGAAAUACAGCAGGUAUCCAAAGUGAAAGACAGUGUUGGGAUUGGUGAGUUUUGUUUGGUAGAAGACUCUGCUUGUGGAGAAUGGUACAGAGGAAGAGUAGUACAAAAGAAGAAUUACAUCUAUGAAGUAUUUCUUAUGGAUAGUGGGAAAAUCCUGGCAGUUGAUGAGACACAUAUUGCUUCUGCUAUUGAUGAGUUGUUUCAACUUCCUCCCAAGAUGGUUUGUGGGAUUUUUGGAAAUAUACUUCCAAUUGAAGAAAAAUGGACUCCAAAAGCUCUGAAUUACUUUUCGUCAUUAAUAGAUUUGCAGAUUAAAGGCCAAAUACAAGCCAUUCUACCACACCAAACAUUUCUGCUUGACGUGCCAAAAAUCACAAGUGAUGUGGUUGAAUUAAAAUUAGGCAAACUUGUUGAUGGAGAUACAUUCUGUCUUAUUGUAGAAAUGUUAACUGAAUUGCCACAAGAGCUGCUUUGUAAACAGAUGCCAGAUUUACUGCAACAAAAAUAUACAAGGCCGGAUUCUGUAUUAUGUAUUGAUCGAAUUCAAUCAGAAGUUCAACCAAUUAUGAAUAACCUUCAGCCGCUUUUAUCCGUUGGUGGGAUAGAGAAAGUAAAAAUAUCAGUGGCAGUCAGUCCAAGUAAAUUUUAUUGUCAGCUGCUGCAAUACCAGGUGGAGAUGGAUGAGUUGACAGCAAACAUGUCUUCCUGUUACGAAACUAGUACAGAAAAUGUUCCAUCCUGUGAGAAUCUAGGAGUCCUCUGUGCAGCAAGACGGAGAAAUGGCCAGUGGCAUAGAGGAGUGAUACAACAGCUGCUUUCUGAUAACAAAGUGAAUAUUUGGUUUAUGGAUUUUGGCAGCUAUGAAGCUGUGCCUUCCAGCUGUGUUUUAAAGCUUCAACCAGAAUUCAUGUCAGUACCUAGGUUUUCGGUUCCUUGUGCACUUUCCUGUCUUAGUUCUCAGGAUGAAACUGUAAGAAACGAUCAACUAAAAGAAUUCAAGGAGGCCUUGCUAAGACAAAGUGUUGUUCAUGCCCGCAUUGAUUUAUUCAAUGCUGAUGAACAUUUGUAUUACGUUACACUUCUUAAACAAGAGUCUGCAAUGCAUUAUGAACAUCUACCACAGGGGAGUGAAGUGAUUCCAAAACUUGACCCAUCCUUCAAGACCAAAAAAUCCUGUACAGGUGAGGAUAUAAAAAUCUCUGAUACAGAUCCUGUUUAUGCCGACUCUGUUCAUAGGAAUACUGUACAAUCAGGAGAUGAUUCAGAUUCAAAAGGCACUCAUUUAAUGUGUUCUCCUUUAAGAAUUCCUUGCAAGAGAGCAGAAAUGCAAAUCGGUUCUGUCUGUGUUGCUUUUGUAGUAUAUGUCUUGAAUCCAUCAAAUUUUUGGGUUCAGACUAUUAACUGUCGAGAUGAGUUUGAAGCCUUGAUGAAGAAAAUUGCAGCUGUGUAUGAUACAAGUGAAACUGUUGAUAAGAUUCUAGAAAAUCCAGAACCUGGAAAACUAUGCUGUGCCCGGUAUAGUAAGGAUAUGCAUUACUACAGAGCUGUUAUCAGGGAAGUGAUGGACAAGAGUAUUGAUGUUUGUUUUUUAGAUUUUGGCAAUACUGAAACUGUACCACUCUUCAAUGUGAGAGUUUUGCUUCCAGAGUUUCUAGAAUUACCAGCCUUGGCCGUUUGUUGUUCACUUGCUAAUGCAUUUCCAAUCGAGGACAUAUGGAUUAAAAAAGAAACUGACUUCUUUAAAAGCAUUGUGUUCGACAAACCGCUCACACUGCAUGUAAUUGCACAAAAAACCAAUAAGUAUAUUGUCAGUGUGCAGUAUAUGAAUAACUCAGAACAAACUGAUGUUGUUUUGUCCAUGGUUCAGGCUGGAUAUGCAGAAUAUUGGGAAGUAAAGCAAGAUCCCUUUCAGAACAUUGUGGGAGAUUUUAAAAUGCAAUGCUCAAAACAAAAGAUACAUAAAAAGAGUUGGCAGAAGAAGAAUAAAUUGCGGAGUCCUCUGACAAAAGAGCAAGCUGUUACCUUCCCGCGGUGGGAAAACACUCUUUCAGAUAAAUUGGGAUACGCAUCUGGGAAAGGUGAUACCCCGAAGCCUUAUAAGGAGUAUCGGUUUAAACCAGGAACUGUAUUUGAUGUCGUAUGUUGUCGUAGUACUUCACCAGGUAACUUUUUCUGUCAGAUGCGAUCUAAACUGCCAGAGCUAUUUAACUUGAUGCAACAAAUUCAGUAUUAUUACAACACUCAAAAAAGCCCAUAUGAACUUGGACAAUAUGCUUGUGUUGUGAAACAUUCUAAGGAUGGGAAGUGGUACAGAGCUGCUGUACAGCAACAUGUGUCCGAGACAGAAGUUGAUGUAGUAUUUGUAGACUAUGGUAACCAGGAAAGAGUUUUGUCAAAAGACCUCCAAGCAAUUCUUCCAGAAUAUCUGGUCUUAGAAUGUCAAACAUUCAGAUGUUGUCUUAAUACGGUCACUGAAUCCUUAACGUUUGACCCGUACAACUGGACUGCAGAGGCAUGUAGAGAUUUUGAGCGCUUUGUUUCCUCUUCUAAUGAUCUGCUGACCUGUACAAUUUCUGCCCUAAUUCUUCGGAGCCCCAACUAUUUAUAUAAUAUUGUUGACUUACAGACUCCAUUCACUACUUCGCAGCAGUUUCUCUUAGAAUGUGGUCAUGCCCAGUCUCGCUCUUUUGAAUUCGCAAGGUCCCUUGUGCCGCCAUUCUCUCUGUACACAUUUUACUAUUCAUCUUUUAACAUGAAAAUUGGAAAUGAAGAAGGGGUGUGUAUAACACAUAUACACAGCCCUACAAAAUUCUAUUGCCAACUAAAUAGAAAUGUAGGUGCUAUAGACAAACUGUUUGAAAAGAUUGCAGAGGUUAGUCAAAUGACAGGCUAUACAGACCAGCUAAACACUUGCAAUUUAUACUUAGCAAAAUAUUUUGAAGAUGGCCUCUUCUACAGAGCUUUAGCAUCUCCUAUGGGCUCAUCAGAUUACUUGCAAGUAUACUUUGUAGACUUUGGGAAUAAACAAUCAGUAGCAAAAAGAGAAAUGAUUCCUAUUCCAAAUCAUGCUUCAGAAUUAUUAUUUACUCCUAUGCAAGCUAUCAAGUGUUACCUUUCAGAUCUAAAAGAUGUUGAAAUUACAACUGAAAUAAAUACAUGGUUUGAGAAGAAUUACUUGGGGAAAGAAAUGAAGGUGGUAAUCGUAUCUAAGGAAUCUGAUGGGCAGCUUGGUGUGGAGUUGUAUGAUGGAGAUCUACAGAUAAAUAGGAAGAUUAAAGAAUUAUUGAAGCACACACAAAAAUAUGGUGUUGACCCAAAAAUUAUAAACACACCUGCAGAAAAGACUGUUGGAGACAAAAAUGUGUUGCAUAAAGUCAAGUCAGAAGCAGUUAAAAGAAAAAUUAAAAAUGAAGUAGUUGGUUGGAAGAGAGAAGCAGAAAAUGAAGCAAAUCCUGGCAAUCAGAGUGCUGGAAAAGAAAUUGCAAUUGAUCUGCAGAAACAGAGUACAAGGCCUGUAAAGCUCCCAGCAGCCUCAGAUAAUACAGAAUUGGCCUUGCAAAGCAAUCUGAGACAGAGAUGCAGAUAUACAUAUUGUGAAUCUUGGACUGAGUGUGAUAGCCCUCCUCGGGGUUUGAAGAAGAUGCCUCCAGAUAAAGAGUUGCAGAUCUUGAAACACAAAUAUUUUGGAGAAGAAAGGUGUAGUGGUACCAGGAAAAAGUACACAAACCUUCCACAGCAUCAUAUCCAGGCAAAUUCCAAAAUGUUAGUUUAUAUUUCUUCUAUAACUAGCAUGUCAAGUUUCUAUAUUCAUCGUGCUAAGGAUGAGAAUGAAAUUGUGCAGCUUGCUGAGAAGCUGAAUGGAGACUCACUGGUUCUAGAGCCAGAAACACCUGCUGAACUUGAGGAAGGUGACAUGGUUUUAGCAGAGUAUGAAGCUGAUUGCUGCACAUAUAGAGCUGUCAUUAGAGAUAUUAAAUCAGAAAAAUCUUUUGAAGUAGAGUUCAUUGACUAUGGUAACUCAUCAACGGUGAAUGCAUCAAAAAUAUACAAGAUGGAAAAGGUUUUCUUAAAUUUUCCAAGAUUCAGCGUACACUGUUUUCUUAGCAAAGCAAGAUAUGCAUUUCCAGAUAAAAGUUGCAGUAGCGAUAUGGCUGCCUGUAUUGCCAGUAAACUAAAUAAUCAACUAUUAGCGUUAGAGUUUUUACAACAGCAUGGUGAACAGUGGGAGGUUGAUGUAUUCUGCCAUGAAAUGUCUAUGAUCAAUGAGUUAGGUUUACAGAAUAUGAGUCUGUUACAUCUUGAUGAAGUCGUAAAACAUCUUCCAGUAACAGAUGUAGAUACUGAUGGUAAUGGCCAAAGUAAAAAAUCAGAAAGCCGAAAUGUGUCUGAAGUAUUAAUAAAAGCUGGACAUCCUUGGGAGAGCCACCCUAAGAUUCCCUGCCAAAAAAUAAAGCCUGGACAGCUAGAAUUGGCUGAAAUAGGUCACAUUUCAAGAGAUGGACAUUUCUAUAUAAAAUUGAAGAAGGAUGCACAAAUAUUUUUUGACUUAAACAUGAUGACUACCCAAGAAGCUGAGAAGAACUUCUUGCUUGCAGUGGAAAAUAUUCAAGAAGGGUUAGAAUGUUUGACAAAAUCAAAAGAGACCUUGAAAUGGUAUCGAUCUGAAGUUAUUAAAAAGUAUGUGAAUGAGGGUCGCAUGUUAGUUUUUUUCAUGGACUUGGGAGAAUAUGAAAUGGUGUCAUUUCAUGACACACAGAUGCUUAGUGACAAGUUCAGGAGUAUUCCCAGGAAUGCUAUGCCUUGUAAAUGGGCUUGGGCUGAAAACCUAGUGGACAUGUCUCUUGAGAGCGUGUUGAAGAUUAUAAAAUGCUAUGAGAUCAAGAUCUUGUUUCUGAGAUACCUAGAAUCUACUUUUAUGUGGGAAGUGGAUAUUUUAAUAGAUGGGAUUCUGCUGUUGGAAUACUGGAAUCAAAGAUCUUACCAAAGGGUGCUGGAGAAAUGUAACUCACCAGAAAAUAUAAAAAUGGGCAAAACAAUGCCUAAAUUGUCAUUCAGACCAAAUUCUGUUUCCUGGGCACCAUUCCAGAAUGAUCGGUAUUAUCCUGGGUUUGUGACGUCUGUCACUGAUCCUUCAAACUUCUGUAUCCAGUUAGAAGACUCAUUUAAGUCUCUAAACGCUUUGUUUAAGUUACUCUCUGACCUUCCAGAAAACCUGCCUACAAUUCCACAGGAGCUUGUCGUUCCUGGUACCAGUUGUUUGAUAAAGAUUGGAUCUAAUGAAAAGUGGAACAGAGUUGAAGUUUCUGAAGUCUCCAAACUCUCUAAUCUCUUAAUAGUUACUUUUAUUGAUGAUGGGUUAUCAGUUCCCAUCCCCAUUUCUGAUAGUCACAAGCUGAAAGUUAUCCCAGAAGAGCUUGCUAAGUUACCUCGAUUAACUUAUCCUUGCUCUUUGUUUGGAGUGUCACCUGCUGAUGGGGAACACUGGAGUGAUGAGGCAAAGCUUAAAAUUCAAGCAUUUCUUAGUAGACAAGGUCUCACAUUUAAGCUGAAACAGUGCCACAGUGGGCAGAAGCUAGAGGCUGUUGUGUUAUGUGAUAAGAACAAUGCAGCAGAUAUACUGGUUGCUUCCAGAUGUGCUGUGUAUUCAAACACUCCAUAUUCGUUUGGUUCAAUUAAUAGUGCAGAGCUUCAUCCAUUGAAUUCACAGAUAUUAUGUGAUUCAACACAAAUAUGUGGUCAGAAGAAUUUGGAUGCACAGAUUGCUCUGCUGUCAGUUGAGGAGGGAAAGCCACAAAAUUCAAGUUUGCAACUCAGUUGUGCUUGUGUUAAUGUUUCGAGAGGCAACAGCUCAAAAGGACUGUGUUCAAAGAGAAAAGAGUGGCACAAAGCUUGCUUACACAUUAAUGGAAGAAUGACUGAAACUCGGCUUAAGUAUGACAAGAGAUUUUGUGAGAGAGAAAGGCGACUCUAUAGUACAGGCAUACUUUCAGAAUCAAUCCACGAAAUGCAUGAUCUUAUGGGACUGAGCACCAAGAUUGAUGGGAUGCAAAUUUAUGAAGAGAGCUAAUCACACAAACGCUUCACUAGAAAGGAAUUUAAAAGUGAUCUAGUCUUGACACUUAAGUUUGGUUUGGCCCCAAUAUUCUAUCCACAUGAAUGUGACUCUGUGCAGUUCCAGUUUGGCAACAGCCCAGUGGAAACUUCAUGUAUUUCUGGAAGUGAUUAUGCGAAGUCCCCACAUAUGUAAGGCAUGUCUUUGAAGUCAUGCACAAAGAAUUUCAGGUUAAAAACUGAUAAGAAUUUCAACAGUUGGAAACAAGUAAUGGAUCUGGAUGCCAAUCAGCGCAUCAACUUUCACAAGAGAAAUCUUAAAAGGAAUUAUUUAAAAGGAAUUACACUUCUGCAAUCACAAAAAUAACAACAAUCCAUGAACCCGAAACGUUUGUAACAGGUCUACAAGGUUGACCUAAAGCUUGCAGCUUUUUGUUAAUUUUCUCUUGAUUUAAUAUUUUCUCUUGUAAUGAUCAAAAGGGAGUGGUAUCCUUGCCAACAAAUGCAAAAUGGUCCUCUUACAUAGUAUAACGUUUCACCACCAUUUUAUUUUACCAUUGAAAUUUAUACUAAUACAUAACAGUCAUUUGCAAGUUUUGUCUGGCUAUCAAAAAUAACCAGCGUCAACCAACCAGAUUCUGAGACAUUGCAAUAAAUGUUCUGCAUGGUUUGAUUGAUGUACUCAAGCUCAUGUAUUGGUUUUCAUAAGGGAAAGUAGUGUGAGAAGCAACAGCUUUUUGUUCUGACAUUUGCUGAGUUUUGUGGGUGUUUUCUUUAAACACACUGUUAUGGGAACUGUGCCUACCAAGGACUGCCAGUCUAAUGUUUACCAACCAAAAAAGCUUGAUCUGACCUAAACUUCAUAGGAAGUUGGUCUUUUGAUUUCAGUGGAACUUAUUUCCAAGUAAGUGCAUUUGCUGAAUGCAAAUAUAGUUGCGAACUACCACACGUUUUGGCAUUUUCAGUGUUUCUUUUUACAAUCCGCUGCUUAACUCACACAUUAAUUAGGACCCAACACGCACACGAGUUUACAUGCAAAACAGUGUGAGCAAACUCCGCAAUACAUUUUAUUGUAUGUGUGUCGUAAUAGGAAAAGCUGUAAUACAUGAAUACUUAGUUAUUAAGUCAUAAGGAAAAGUAGUGCUGAAUAUUGAUUUGUGUUUUAGCUGUCUUUCCUAUUUUAAUUUUCUUUGUGUAUGUUAUCUGAUUAGUCAUAACGCUGAUGCUUACAUCACACAGGUAUAAAUGUAUGUGUAUCAGGUGUCCAGGGAGCCUCAUACGUGUACCAGGGCAUGCCGAAUCUCACAUUUCUACUGCUGAAAGUCAUGCUGCACUGGAUCCCAGUUGUGAAGGUUUCCCAACUUAGUGGAGUUCCACUGAGAAGUGGAAGUUCUGCCUGUAGCUCAGUUUAUUCUGAGACACAUGUACACCUCUCCAGUCUGCUAAUAUACUUGAUCUGCAGCAUGCCUUAUAAUCUGCUGGUUAAUUUCCACAAAUGGCUGGUAUAUUUUAACCAGUGAAUCCAUCUUGUUUGUGCCUAUGUGAUUUGUUUAACACAAUUGGCUUUAAAAGUGUUCCCACAUUAGUCUUUUGAUGGGACAAACAGGAGAUUGGUUGCUUCUGCAUCUUCAUCUAUAGGAACUACAAUUGUGUGUUGAUGUACUAUCGUAUGUGUCAGAAUUUUCAAAGUAAUCCAGUUGCUAGAUUUUAUUCAGCUACCAAUUUAGCUUGUAUGCUAGGAAAUAUGCAUGUAGCAUAAAAAUUAUGCACAUUCUUAUUGAACCUACUAGAAAAAAGCAGGCCUUUAAAAUUUGUAUUUUAAGUUUUGCAGGCUAUAUGUAAACUAUGUACAUACUUUGUUUACUGAAAUGAGAGUGCUCUUUUAUUUAAACUGAUGGUAACAGCAAUAAAUCUGUGGUAAAGGUU
Molecule: RNA transcript, 8194 nt
Organism: Podarcis raffonei (Aeolian wall lizard)
Lineage: Eukaryota; Metazoa; Chordata; Lepidosauria; Squamata; Lacertidae
Gene: TDRD15
Gene name: tudor domain containing 15
Exons: 4
Source: RefSeq, a predicted model, not a curated record